RNAcentral lists this long non-coding RNA (225 nucleotides) under Melopsittacus undulatus (budgerigar). RNAcentral describes it as "lncRNA (ENSMUNG00000017143.1)". Lineage: Eukaryota; Metazoa; Chordata; Aves; Psittaciformes; Psittaculidae. The record is from RNAcentral.
AUGCUAUUUUUGCUGUCUGUUCUCUGUAGGCAGGAGUACGCUGCCCUGAAGCAGUCCUUCCUGGGUUAUUGUCUGGAAGUUGAGGAGAGAGUUCAGACACACCUGAAAGAGGGAACACCAGUGCAAAACAAGGAACUUGCCAUGAAGGGCUGCGUGAGAUGGCUCCUGCUCAAGGCAGGCAUUCUGCCACCCUGCAAAGUCCAUCAGAUGAGACUGAAAUGGUGA